RNAcentral lists this ribosomal RNA (206 nucleotides) under uncultured bacterium. RNAcentral's name for it is "partial 16S ribosomal RNA". It matches the Rfam family "Bacterial small subunit ribosomal RNA", at positions 1296 to 1500 of the family's 1533-position model. The record is from RNAcentral.
GAUUGUAGUCUGCAACUCGACUACAUGAAGCUGGAAUCGCUAGUAAUCGCGAAUCAGAAUGUCGCGGUGAAUACGUUCCCGGGUCCUUGUACACACCGCCCGUCACACCAUGGGAGUCGGGAAUGCCCGAAGUCAGUGACCCAACCGGAAGGAGGGAGCUGCCGAAGGCAGGCUCGAUAACUGGGGUGAAGUCGUAACAAGGUACC